Molecule: unclassified non-coding RNA, 762 nt
Filed under: Zea mays
Lineage: Eukaryota; Viridiplantae; Streptophyta; Magnoliopsida; Poales; Poaceae
Description: misc RNA Zm00001eb358240
Source: RNAcentral
CUGCGCCUGCGAGGAGAGGCGGGGCGAGCUGCUGCUGUGUCCCGCCAUGAGGGGGAGAUGGAGCUCAGCUCCCUGUUUGCUGCACGCCGUGGACAGCAGGGGGAGGAAGAAGACCCGGCUGCUGUUGCGCGAGGGAGAACGAGUAAGGGAGAAGAAGGGGCGUCGGUAUGGGGGAUUUUUCUGGGCGUCCAUGGGAGGGAGCUGCCGCGUCGCCAUGGACAGGGAGGCAACGCCAUGAGGAAACUCGAGCUCGAGCCAUGGGGAAGGGAAGGGAGCUCGCUGGGGCAUCUCCUGCGCCAUGGGAGGAAGCAGGACGCCAUGGCUGGGGGGGCGCGUGGAGCAGGGAGCCUGCUGCUCGCCUUCAGCAAGGGCGCCGAGUUGGGCUGGAAGCAGCCGAGGAGGGAGCUCGCCCGCGCCGUGAAGGAGAGCUCGGCGGCAAGGGUGCCUGGAGGAAGGAGCUCGCCGCAGGGAAGGCUGGCGCCAUGGGAGCAGCUCGGCAGAGAGCUUCUCUGCGCCAUGAGCAGGAGAGAAGAGGGAACCGGCUGGGAGAAAUGGCGCCGGGGAGGAACGCAGGCAGGGCGUCGGGGCCUGGGCGUCCAUGGCUGCAAGCCUUGCUCCCUGCUUGCUGCCGUGGGAGCCAGGGAGGAAGAAGGCAGGGGGAUGCGUGCGUUGGCUGGAAGGAGGAGAGGGAGAAAUGUUGUGGCGGCUAGGGGGGUAGAUGCAAUUUUCCAAAUUGGCAAGGGGAGGCACUUCUAUUUAUAG